GCCUCGACCUUGCGCUUGUCGGCGUCCUGCGCGCGCGGCGACGGCGCGAAGCGGCCGAGACCUUCCAGGAGAUCGCCGACGCCGAAAUUGCGCAGCGCGCUGCCGAAAUAGACCGGGGUCAGGUGGCCCUCGCGGAACGACUGCAGGUCGAACGGCUUCGAGGCUUCCUUCACCAGUUCGAGUUCGUCGGCUAUCUCAUUGGCAUCGAGAUUGGCGUUGCGGCCGGCCAAAUCAGAGAUCUCGAUCUUUUCCGCUGCCCCGGUCUUGGCGCCGCCGCCUUCCAGCAGGCGGAUGCCACCGG
Molecule: unclassified non-coding RNA, 301 nt
Filed under: Hevea brasiliensis (rubber tree)
Lineage: Eukaryota; Viridiplantae; Streptophyta; Magnoliopsida; Malpighiales; Euphorbiaceae
Source: RNAcentral